UAUUCUUUUCCAAAUGAAAGAUUGGCAGCUAGAGAAUAUUGCCUGAACUUGAAAGAGUACACAGAUUACAUGUACACACAUUUCAUGGCCUAGGUAAAAUCUUGAUUAUAUUGCUAUCUUAUCCACUUUAUUCACUAUGCCUGUAUCAGUGGCAUGCAUGCUGUGAGAAAAAAAAAAAUCUCCACAGACUAGAACUGUGACCUGUUACAAGGAAUAGAUUGUUUUCUGGGUUUUUGAGAUGAAAUAUUUUGAGGAAAUUCUAUAACAUUAUUGACUGACCUUCUGUAGGACUACUGAAAAAUAUACUGCAAGAUCAAAACAACUUAAUUUUUAUAUUGAUUGAAGCUUUUAAUUCUUCAGAAUAAUUUGUCCUUUUAUAGUGAGUUGUGCUUUUCUUCUUGUCAGGGGUUUCAUAGGUUUACUAGUAAUGGUUGAAAAAAGUGUACAAAAAACCCUCAUAAAGUUGCAGCAAUUAUUUACAACAUAAAAUCUUCAGUGACUAUUUACAAAGCCUUCAGUUGUUCAAAUGUACACAUAGUGUAUUAUUUAUUAUUUCUUGUUGUUUCUAUUGUUGCUGCUCUGAGUGAUCAACCAUCCUCCUUACUACCACCUGACGGGCACAGCUGGAGGGUCCCUGAGAGCCUGGGGGCGUGUGGAGGGAGGCUGGAGGCCUGGGACUCCCGGUGGAGCAGGGGCAGCUCUGCGCACAGGCCUGUGGCUGCAGUCCGGGCUCGGUGAAAGCCAAGGUGCAGCGUGCAGGGAGGGCAAGUCCAUGGCUGCCCGGCUCAGAACCAUGCACCAACACAAGGAGCCCUCACUCCUGGCUAUGGGGCUGGGACUUGGACCUGGAGGGGUCCUAUGGUCCUCUGCAGACCUGACCCUGUCAUCCUCAGAGCCCACACCUGAGAUGAUGGGAGUCCCCUCCAUCCAUGUUCCCUGUGUUGUUACUGGGGAGGGCUGGGCUGAUGAAAGCUGUCAGCCCAGCCAGUGGCUGCAAUCUCAGGGCUCAUGCAGUGCCUCCCCAGAAGGCUGUGCCAUGCCCUGACAGCAAGUGCCCAAAUUUCAGUCUUUUGUAGUUGAAGAACUGAAGUACUCAAUUCAGCAACUGAACUUUAUGAAAUUUUUAGGAAACCAGUGGGACCUUGGACCUGAUGAAAUUUGAAUGUGACUGGUCAGUGGAUUUAACAGGUUUGUGGAUUUUUAUGAAAAACAUUUCUGGGAUGUUUCUAAGCAAAAUCUUUGGGAUCAAGUAAGAUGUCUUUGCCAAUGAAGAUGAG
Molecule: long non-coding RNA, 1277 nt
Filed under: Cyanistes caeruleus (blue tit)
Lineage: Eukaryota; Metazoa; Chordata; Aves; Passeriformes; Paridae
Description: lncRNA (ENSCCEG00000013195.1)
Source: RNAcentral